CCUACGGGUGGCAGCAGUGGGGAAUAUUGCACAAUGGGGGAAACCCUGAUGCAGCAACGCCGCGUGAGUGAUGACGGCCUUCGGGUCGUAAAGCUCUGUCUUCAGGGACGAUAAUGACGGUAAGUGAGGAGGAAGCCACGGCUCAAUACGUGCCAGCAGCCGCGGUAAUACGUAGGUGGCGAGCGUUUUGCAGAUUUACUGGUCGUGAAGGGAGCGUAGGCGGACUUUUAAGGGCGAUGUGAAAUACUCGUGGUUAACUUGAGUGCUGCAUUUCAAACUGGUAGUCUAGAGUGCAGGAGAGGAGAAUGGAAUUCCUAGUGUAGCGGUGAAAUGCGUAGAGAUUAGGAAGAACACCAGUGGCGAAGGCGAUUCUCUGGACUGUAACUGACGCUGAGGCUCGAAAGCGUGGGGAGCAAACAGGAUUAGAUACCCCUGUAGUC
Molecule: ribosomal RNA, 440 nt
Filed under: uncultured bacterium
Lineage: Bacteria
Description: partial 16S ribosomal RNA
Rfam family: Bacterial small subunit ribosomal RNA
Source: RNAcentral